AGUGAACGCUGGCGGCGUGCUUAACACAUGCAAGUCGAACGGAAAGGCCCCAGCUUGCUGGGGUACUCGAGUGGCGAACGGGUGAGUAACACGUGGGUGAUCUGCCCUGCACUUUGGGAUAAGCUUGGGAAACUGGGUCUAAUACCGAAUAUGACCACUUCUUGGAUGUUGUGGUGGAAAGCUUUUGCGGUGUGGGAUGAGCCUGCGGCCUAUCAGCUUGUUGGUGGGGUAAUGGCCUACCAAGGCGGCGACGGGUAUCCGGCCUGAGAGGGUGUACGGACACAUUGGGACUGAGAUACGGCCCAGACUCCUACGGGAGGCAGCAGUGGGGAAUAUUGCACAAUGGGCGCAAGCCUGAUGCAGCGACGCCGCGUGGGGGAUGAAGGCCUUCGGGUUGUAAACUCCUUUCGCUAUCGACGAAGCCACUUGUGGUGACGGUAGGUAGAUAAGAAGCACCGGCUAACUACGUGCCAGCAGCCGCGGUAA
This 486-nucleotide ribosomal RNA is filed under the name uncultured bacterium. Its description in RNAcentral is "partial 16S ribosomal RNA". It matches the Rfam family "Bacterial small subunit ribosomal RNA", at positions 29 to 523 of the family's 1533-position model. The record is from RNAcentral.